GCCACUGGCGGUUGCUCGCUCAGGAUCAGCGCGGCUGCUGCAGGGCCUCAGGGAAGGGGACGAUCGCGUACGACCGUGUAGGAGGGGAGGGCUCUGGAUGGGGAUGAUCGCUAACGCACUGGGGCAGUGGCAAAGAUACUAGAGCUCCUCUAGUAUCCUUGGGCAGUGGUGGGCAAAGAUUAUAGCUCCUGUGUGAUCUUUGGUGGUGGCCACGCGGGCCGCGCUCAGUGCUGGCGGUUUGGCGCGCGUCACGUGAAUGCAAUCCGAUGCCGUGAAAUGGCGGCGGCCGCCGGAGCUGCAGUGGAGCCGUCGCCUAAAAUGGAGCCCGUCCUAUGUUCGGAAAAUUCCAGUAGCCAAAUAAUAUGCUAGUCCGCAUGUUUUAAGGGAAAUCGGAGCACCUGAGGGAAUGUGGGAAGAAACCAGAGCACCUGGGAUAAUACAGCUCCACUGUGCUUCACAUUUUAGUCGAUGGAGAUAUAAAUAUUGGGAAUCAUCGAGCUUGCUCGCUGCAUUUCAUCAAAAACUUCAUGAAAGGUUUAAGUCUUGCACCUGCACUAGCUGUUUGAGAUGAUCACUCAUGAAAAUCAAGCUUGGACAUUUACCUGGAAGGAUGGCUUACAGAAAUCCAAGAAGUAAACACUUAAAAAGAAAAACAGGAUCGUUUUGAAGUGUAAAUCCUCAAUCUGGGAUUGUAUUUGGAUCAAGAAGGAACUGCAGAUGCUGGAAGAUCGAAGGGGCUUCAGUUCAAGUCGUUUCUUUUUAUCGUGAGGGGCUGUCACAUGAGAAUGGACUUUAUCGAUGGAUGCUCAGAGCUUUCCAGGCCACUUGAAUCCACAAAUUACAACAAUUGCAGUUGCCUAUUAGAAGAGCUGACAAACUUCAAAGAAUGAUAGGAUCUUGUUGGAGAGAAUCCUCUGGAGGAUGGGGAUCCCUUCCAGCAGGAAUCUUUGGAGUGUUCACCAGGAUCUGAUCGUGUGUUUAAUUAUGUCAAUUUGUUGGUCAAUUAAAAUUAAUAGCUGAUUUAA
This is a long non-coding RNA of Leucoraja erinaceus (little skate), 1025 nucleotides long. RefSeq lists it as uncharacterized. The record is from RefSeq and is a predicted model, not a curated record. The transcript has 6 exons. Lineage: Eukaryota; Metazoa; Chordata; Chondrichthyes; Rajiformes; Rajidae.